CCCAGACUCCUACGGGAGGCAGCAGUGGGGAAUAUUGGGCAAUGGGCGCAAGCCUGACCCAGCAACGCCGCGUGAAGGAAGAAGGCCCUCGGGUUGUAAACUUCUUUUAUUCGGGACGAAACAAAUGACGGUACCGAAUGAAUAAGCCACAGCUAACUACGUGCCAGCAGCCGCGGUAAUACGGAGGAUGCGAGCGUUAUCCGGAUUUAUUGGGUUUAAAGGGUGCGCAGGCGGCACGGCAAGCCGGCGGUCAAAUCGCGGGGCUCAACCCCGCCCAGCCGUCGGAACUGCCGGGCUAGAGUGGGCGAGAAGUGCGCGGAAUGCGUGGUGUAGCGGUGAAAUGCAUAGAUAUCACGCAGAACUCCGAUUGCGAAGGCAGCGCACCGGCGCCCUACUGACGCUGAGGCACGAAAGCGUGGGUAUCGAACAGGAUUAGAUACCCGGGUA
This 447-nucleotide ribosomal RNA is filed under the name uncultured bacterium. RNAcentral describes it as "bacterial SSU rRNA". It matches the Rfam family "Bacterial small subunit ribosomal RNA", at positions 330 to 792 of the family's 1533-position model. The record is from RNAcentral.